GGAGGUAGUGACGUGAAAUAACGAUGCGGGACUCUUCCGAGGCCUCGCAAUCGGAAUGAGUUAACUUUAAAUCCUUUCGACGAGGAUCGAUUGGAGGGCAAGUCUGGUGCCAGCAGCCGCGGUAAUUCCAGCUCCAAUAGCGUAUAUUAAAGUUGCUGCGGUUAAAAAGCUCGUAGUUGGAUCUCACGAUUCGAAAGACGGAGAGCGCCGUUGACGCAGUCGUGGUAGUAGUAGUACUACUACACCACGAAUCCACCUUCUCAUUCGUUUCGUUACGGUAGAAGGAGUAAUAAUAGUACGGGGAUGUCGAAUGCGCGAACAGGAUUUAUGAAAACGGUACGAUUUGAUUUUCUGACGGUGGUGGCGGAGGCGGUCGUCUUUGCUGCUGCUGCUGCUGUUGUUGCGGUGGUACGCUAGUGGGGAACGACCGUCGCCGCUACCGCUUCUACUACUUCGUUAAUCGUUGAUGUCCUCUUCGUUGCUUUGGCUAAUACCACUAUUCCUCUUCCUUCUUUCCAACGGACGAAAAAGAGAAGGCGAACGCCAAAGUGUCCCGGCGUAACUAAACAACCGUCCUUUUCGAUGAAAAAUAUUGUUCGGCCGGCCAGCGGCGUAGUAGUAGCCUCACCGGAAAGGGUGGUAGAAGGUGGUAUCAUUAUGGCAAUAAUAAUACAUCUUCCACCUUCGAUGGCGGUGGUGACUCUCGCGCGCUCGCGUUCGGUCGGCAACUUCACUUUGACAAAAUUAGAGUGCUCAGAGCGGGCAAGAUCUGAAGCCCGAAUGGAGGUGCAUAGAAUGAUCUAAGAUGACCUCGCGAUCUAAACGUUUGUCGGUUUAUGGGGUCGCGAGGUAAUGAUUAAA
RNAcentral lists this ribosomal RNA (861 nucleotides) under Tylos punctatus. Its description in RNAcentral is "partial 18S small subunit ribosomal RNA". It matches the Rfam family "Eukaryotic small subunit ribosomal RNA", at positions 460 to 873 of the family's 1831-position model. Lineage: Eukaryota; Metazoa; Arthropoda; Malacostraca; Isopoda; Tylidae. The record is from RNAcentral.